AUCUCUUUUUUCAUGUUUCUAGCUGCUCCUCCUUCUUACUUCUUCCUUUCGUGAAUUUUCCGUUUCUCUGAUGCCUUCUUUGGAGCAGUAUUCAACCAUGGGUGUGUGAUACUACUCUUCUUCAACCGCUUCAAAAGGUGUAUGUAUCCAUUCAAAGUUCCAUCUGGAGUCUAAGAGGAACUUAAUCCAGUGCUUCGACUUCCAUGUCUCAAAAGGUGCGUAUUGGAAUCGAUUCUGAAUGUGUGGUCCUCAACUUUUGCUGGUGGAACUCUUUGUAAACUCAUAUCCAAGACUAGGACUGUUGGAAUCAUCAUUCAAUAACUCAUCUCCGAGUAUUUCCUCUUCUUGACUGGACGGAAUGUUGAUCUCUUCCUUAUUGUUGUACACCCCCUUAUGUUCUACACUCAUUUUUCUAUCUUCUACAUGUGCAUAUGUCAAUGUUGAAUUGGGUUGAGGUUCUUGUCCAUUAUCCCUUAGACUUGCUUCAUUUUUGUUCAUAUUUUGUUGUGUUAUGUUGUCCCCUGUUUGCUCUUUGCCUUUGUGAUUUCCUCCAUGUAACACAGGUCCAAAAGACUUAGUUACCCAUUUUUUUUAGCUAAUUAUCCUUUUGUAAUUAUGUAGUAUCUUGUUGUGACUUAUCGUUUCCCUUGCUGAUAUCAUAUAUGUAUUCUUCUUCAUGUGCAAGAGCACCAAAUUUGUUACUCAUCACAGUGGUGGAUGUGUUUGAUUUACUGGGACAACCUCUUCUAUCUUUAA
This is a long non-coding RNA of Solanum tuberosum (potato), 756 nucleotides long. RefSeq lists it as uncharacterized. NCBI's taxonomy places the organism in Eukaryota, Viridiplantae, Streptophyta, Magnoliopsida, Solanales, Solanaceae. The transcript is spliced from 4 exons. The record is from RefSeq and is a predicted model, not a curated record.